AUUGCACGCUGGCGGCAGGCCUAACACAUGCAAGUCGAACGAGUGGCGGACUGGUGAGUAAUGUCUGGGAACCUGCCCGAUGGAGGGGGAUAACUACUGGAAACGGUAGCUAAUACCGCAUACCAUCGGAUGUGCCCAGAUGGGAUUAGCUCAUAGGUGGGGUAACGGCUCACCUAGGCGACGAUCCCUCGCUGGUCUGAGAGGAUGACCAGCCACCCUGGAACUGAGACACGGUCCAGACUCGUACGGGAGGCAGCAGUGGGGAAUAUUGCACAAUGGGCGCAAGCCUGAUGCAGCCAUGCCGCGUGUAUGAAGAAGGCCUUCGGGUUGUAAAGUACUUUCAGCGAGGAGGCGUUACUCGCAGAAGAAGCACCGGCUAACUCCGUGCCAGCAGCCGCGGUAAUUC
This 406-nucleotide ribosomal RNA is filed under the name uncultured bacterium. RNAcentral describes it as "partial 16S ribosomal RNA". It matches the Rfam family "Bacterial small subunit ribosomal RNA", at positions 30 to 526 of the family's 1533-position model. The record is from RNAcentral.